UUAGCAUUUCUUCCACUCGGCAGAUACUAGAGAGAGUUCCUUCCCCAGAGAUCUCAGGUAUCCCAGGAGGCCUUGGUCCCUGGAACGCUUCCUCUUCUUGGCAGAGUUAUUUCUCCUCCAAGAAAGUCUUCCCUGGAGCCAUAAAAAACUCCCUGACAGUUGGAAACUAUUGAAGACACAUGGCAGCUGAGCGACUCCACUAAAGCCUGGAAUUACAUUUAGGCAGUGGGUGGCGGAAGCUUGGAGGAGCUGCCAUGCAGUUUCUUGUGAGAAGGCCAUCGCAGGCAGAGAGAAAACUACCAGAGAAGAAAAGACGCAAGGAGGCUGAAAGAUCAUAGGCUUAAUGGCUUUCCCAUUGGGAAGGAUUAUCCAGUCAGCGCCAAUCACGCAGGAACAUCGAUUAAGCUUCUGUUGCAUACAAAACUGCCUGGUAGCUCCAUGAUGAGCUACAAAAAGGUAAGAAACCACAAGGACAAGACUAGCAGCCUGAAGAGAAGCCAGUCGAUCGAUCGAUGGAGCCACAAUUAUCUGAGGUGCCUGAUGGAAAAGUGAAGGGUUCCAUAUGGCCAAAGAAUAGCCCCUUACCUCUUCUUCUUGGUGAUGAUGAGGACGUCGUUAAAGAGGAAGAAGUAGACCUGCUGUUUGGAGGUUCUUCUGGAGAAGAGGACAGUGUCUUCCACGUAGGCAGUCAAUUCACCCCUCUUUACUAGCCAUCGGGAGGAGGACACUAAAGGGAAAGGCUGGGGGAAAAAAUCCAACAAUAAUGAACAAUGAUGAAAGCCCCAGCUUAGUGCCAUCAACAGUAUGAUUUAAAACCAUCGUCAUGGCCAGAGAUGCAUUCUAAGAUUAGAAGAAGAAUGUUCUUGGUAAGUAUGUGCUACCCAAGUGUUUUCAGGAAGGAGACUGGGAUGACAACACUGCAAUAAAAUGUGGCGAGCACAGUCUGUCCUCUGAGCGGAGAAGGAGGAAAACAAGGCACAAGCUCUUCUGCAGGCUCCAGUACAAUCAAAAGCCAUUGAGAAAAUGUUAGAGUCCCCUGGAAUGUGACCCUCCUAUUGACCAGUGACAGGGAAAGAGAUCCAAGAGACGCACCCUCUACGCUACCCUGAUGCCUAUCCAUCAAGUCCUAAUGAUUCUAAGGAUAACUGAAAUUUAAUGCUACUAAUAAUGCAAGUAUCUCAGAUCAUGUACACGGAGGGGGAUAAAUAAAUGAGCUAAUCAGAGUCGGCACAUAUAAAUUAGAGCAGAGAUCCUUAACUUGAUUUCCAGGAACUUUUUAAGGUGAAUUUAUUAUUUGUAGGGUUUUUGUUUUAAAUUUAUUAUGUUGUUGUUACAUAUACAUAUUAUUUCUAUUAUAUACUUAGUAGAAAUGAUUUCUAUUGACUAUAUUUCAACAUUAUUGACUUCCUUUGUAACUUUACAUAUUUUAUUUUAUGCAUCAAAAAACAUGAUUCUGGAAGGGUUCAAGCUCGACAGACUGCCAAAGGCCUUCGUGGCACAAACUAGGUAAGAACCUCUGAAUUAAAAUGACUGAAGGCGUAUGCAAUUCUUUUCAUUAAUGAACGCUACGACAGAACGCUUUCCUUCUAUUUUGCCUGUGACUGGUCUGCUUCGUUAGGUUAUCAGGAACACCUGGCCUUAAAAUCCAAUGCUAGCUUUCCCCAGGGGGGGCUCAAUCCUAGCUGCAAAGGCCAACCCCCACCCCAGAAUAACGCCGCUCUAUUCAUAUAAGGCAGGCCAGAGCCAUGGGAUUACAGACUGAUAAUUCAAAAAUCUGGAAAACCCUCAAACCACAGGAAAAUUCCAAGCACUGAGAACUCACUUCUUAAAACAUACAAAGGUAAAAGAAACGGAUGGAAAGAAGAAAAAAAAAGCACAAUCAUUAAAUGAGCAUCCUGAGAUCAUACAGUCUGGAUUGUAUUAAAAGCAAAUGUCACUUUAUAGUGAUCCUCCGUAGAGAUCCAUCCGUAGAGGGGAUGGAGACUAGCAUAGGAGGGAGGUAGGAGAAUUGGGACUGUUUAGCUUGGAAAAGAGCAGGCGGAGGGACGGUUUGUUAUAACAGAUUAAAGCAUUUAAAGGAUUUCCACAAGAAUGAGGAGCCAGUGAUAGUCGAUCAUUGUUGAAGGACCGAAUAAGAAGAAAGAGAUUUCCCUGGAUGUUAGGAAGAGUCAUGGGGGCUCUCAGGGAGCUAAAGUACUGUGGGGAUUGGCAGCCAGAGGAGUGACUGUUUACAGGGUGAUCGAACAUUCUGUCUCUGGAUAAGGAGAUGAAUCAGAUAAUCUCUGGGUCUCCACAAUGUACAGCAAAGCCCAAGGCAUCUUAAUCGAGUUUAGAGCUGCUCGGCGCAGUAAUUACUAGGAUUCCAUGAUAGCAGUCUUAUCUACAAGAGAGACCCACGGCACAUAUUCCAAAGAUGGUUUGGAGGGCAUACAAAACAAGAGACAUCAUUUUAAAAAAGCUGAAAUGGGGGGACCACUGGGUAGCUCAGAGAGACAGGAGUCCUGGGUUCAAAUCUGGCCUCAGACACUUCCCAGCUGUGUGACCCUGGGCAAUUCACUUAACCCCCAUUGCCUAGCCCUGACCACUCUUCUGCCUUGGAACCAAUAUACAGUAUUCACUCCAAGAUGGAAGGUGGGGGUUUAAAAAAAAUUAAAAUGCUGAAAUGACUCUCCAUUUACAAAUAAUCAAUUUUAAUGUAACAACCAGGGAAGAAAAUAGAAUCCAUCAUUAUUGGGGGAGGGGGGGCUCUAUUUGAUUAUAAUUUGCCUUAAAGUUUGCUAAACUGUCCCAAAUAGUAUGAGAGGAUAACUACAAGUCAAAACAUAACUUUAAUAAUUUUGCUGAAUGAAAACAAUUAUAAGUCCUCCACAGCAGUGUUUAUACACAUCCUCCAAAGGGUCACGGACCGAAAUGCAGUCCUUUAUAUAGCAUUAAUAAAAAUAGGGAAGCCUUUCUGGAUUACCGUUAGCCUGUGAUCUAGCUCUGGGCUCUAUGAAAGAAGCUGAUGGUAUCUUAAGGGGAGUUUUGGUUUUAGGGAGGAAAAGGGAGGCAAGAUCUGGAGCUGAUUGUUCUGAAAGGGAUUGGGGUGGGGGGGGGGGGGAAACGUUACCUGUCAGAAUUCUUUGUUUUUUAGAAAAAUCCAAUACAUCUGAUAGAAGGUAACAGUAGGUAAUAGGCACAAGUUCAUUCAAGAGAGAGUGUAACAUUGUCUCUCAAAUUCUGGGAGGAGUACUUUGUUUUUAUUUGAAAUAAAAAAAGUAUUAUUAACAAA
Non-coding RNA from Monodelphis domestica (gray short-tailed opossum), 3271 nucleotides. The record is from RefSeq and is a predicted model, not a curated record. NCBI's taxonomy places the organism in Eukaryota, Metazoa, Chordata, Mammalia, Didelphimorphia, Didelphidae.